This 71-nucleotide transfer RNA is filed under the name Agaricus bisporus var. burnettii JB137-S8. RNAcentral's name for it is "tRNA-Gly (GCC) (tRNA-Gly-GCC-2-1)". It matches the Rfam family "tRNA". Rfam says of the family: Transfer RNA (tRNA) molecules are approximately 80 nucleotides in length. RNAcentral also lists the same sequence under 2 other names. Lineage: Eukaryota; Fungi; Basidiomycota; Agaricomycetes; Agaricales; Agaricaceae. The record is from RNAcentral.
GCAUCAAUGGGGUAGUGGUAACCUGGGUCGUUGCCAUCGACCCGCCGGGGGUUCGAUUCCCUCUUGAUGCA